GACGAACGCUGGCGGCGUGCUUAACACAUGCAAGUCGAACGGAAAGGCCUGCUUUCCCUUGUGGAUUGCGGGUGCUCGAGUGGCGAACGGGUGAGUAACACGUGAGUGAUCUGCCCCCAACUUGGGUAUAAGCCUGGGAAACUGGGUCUAAUUCCCGAUAGGACUGCAGGGUGGUGCCUGUGGUGGAAAACGAUUUUCUAGUGGUUGGGGAUGAGCUCGCGGCCUAUCAGCUUGUUGGUGGGGUAAUGGCCUACCAAGGCGGCGACGGGUAGCCGGCCUGGGAGGGGGGACGGCGACAUUGGGACUGGGAUACGACCCAGACGCCUACGGGAGGCAGCAGUGGGGAAUAUUGCACAAUGGGCGGAAGCCUGAUGCAGCGACGCCGCGUGGAGGAUGACGGCCUUCGGGUUGUAAACUCCUUUCGACCGCGAGGAAGCCACCUGGUUGGGAGGGUGGUGACGGUAGUGGAAGAAGAAGCACCGGCUAACUACGUG
This 494-nucleotide ribosomal RNA is filed under the name uncultured bacterium. RNAcentral describes it as "partial 16S ribosomal RNA". It matches the Rfam family "Bacterial small subunit ribosomal RNA", at positions 28 to 507 of the family's 1533-position model. The record is from RNAcentral.